GAUCCUGGCUCAGGAUGAACGCUAGCUACAGGCUUAACACAUGCAAGUCGAGGGGCAUCAGUCUGGUUUGCUUGCAAACCAAAGCUGGCGACCGGCGCACGGGUGAGUAACACGUAUCCAACCUGCCUCAUACUCGGGGAUAGCCUUUCGAAAGAAAGAUUAAUAUCCGAUAGCAUAUAUUUCCAGCAGUUGGGUUUUAUAAUUAAAAGUAAAGUUCGGUAUGAGAGUGGGGAUGCGUUCCAUUUAG
This 247-nucleotide ribosomal RNA is filed under the name uncultured bacterium. Its description in RNAcentral is "partial 16S ribosomal RNA". It matches the Rfam family "Bacterial small subunit ribosomal RNA", at positions 15 to 245 of the family's 1533-position model. The record is from RNAcentral.